GUGGAAUAACUCCCAGAUGGGCAUUCGUGUCAGUCAAUCAUGAUCCACUCUAUCCCUACAACUGCUCCCAAUGUGGAAAGAGUUACAACCGUCGAAACAACUUGACUCGUCACCUGAAAUACGAAUGUGGAGUUGCGAAGGCAUUUCAGUGCCCUCAUUGCCAACAGACGUUCAGACAACGAUAUCUGGUCUGGAUUCACAUUAAAAAAAUCCACGAACGCUCUAGACUCUUCUGCAUCGACACCAGAACCGGGGAAAAGUCGUUCUACGAGGCGCGUCAUGACGGGGGAACCUGAGGAGGACCUGGGGGACAUCAGGAUUCGAUGGCGGGUGGGAAGUCCCGCAGGUGCAGUCGGCGUCGUCCUGGCCGCAUUAUUGCUCGAAGUGCGGAAAGAGUUAUAAACAUCGGACACAUUUGAUUCGGCAUUUUAAUCACGAGUGCGGAGUGGGAAAAGCUUUCCAGUGCCCUUAUUGCAGUAAUAUGUUUAGACAACGUGCGCAUAUAUGGAGACACAUCAGAAAGCUUCAUCCUCGGUUUAAGCUCUUCUGCAUCGACACGAGAACGCAGAAGAAAUUGUUUUAUUCGAUGAGUUAUAAGAGAUGAGGAAAUUAAAAUUUGGAAAAUUACUGAGCUUUUAUUUCUCGAGCUUUUAUUUCUGGGGAAUGGAAUUUCCCGGGAAUAAAAUCAUUAAACUAAUAAAGGGAAUACCCGAGUGGGAGUUUAUCGCUGUGAACUACGAUAUAUCGAAUCGCCAUCACUGCCCGACGUGCCAGAGGAGCUACAAACGUCGAACUCAUCUUCUUCGUCAUCUGAAGAACGAGUGCGGAAUAGCGAAAGCUUUUCAAUGCCCCUAUUGCAUGCAGAGCUUUCGACAACGGACCCACAUCUGGACCCACAUCAGGCAGAAUCACACUGACUCCGUCCUUUACUGUAUCGACACACGAACUGGAGAGAAAUUGUAUUAUUCGUGGAAUCACAAGACAUGAAAAGCUCCAGGAGGCGAAGGACUUCCUUUCAAUAAUAGAAAUAAUAAUUGAGGAAUCAGGUGGUCGACAGGGCCCAACUGGCCCAGAAAAGGACAGCCAGGGCCCACCGGGUGAAAAAUAUAAUUUUGCUAAUUACGUCAUCUCCUGAAGAAGAAGAAGAAGAAGAAGAAGAAGAAGAAGAAUUAGAAAGAGGAAAAUUCUAGAUUAAUAAUUAAUGGCUUUUUAAUUAAUUUAUUGGCAAAAUUAUAAUUUUUAUCCUGGGAAAUUGAACUUAUAAUUAAAAUUAAGACGUUGGACUACGAUUGGAGGUCUUGAUGAGGAAUAAAGCUCUUGAUGAUAA
Long non-coding RNA from Diachasmimorpha longicaudata, 1327 nucleotides. RefSeq lists it as uncharacterized. The record is from RefSeq and is a predicted model, not a curated record. Lineage: Eukaryota; Metazoa; Arthropoda; Insecta; Hymenoptera; Braconidae. The transcript is spliced from 3 exons.